Molecule: unclassified non-coding RNA, 339 nt
Filed under: Hevea brasiliensis (rubber tree)
Lineage: Eukaryota; Viridiplantae; Streptophyta; Magnoliopsida; Malpighiales; Euphorbiaceae
Source: RNAcentral
AUCACCUUGGCCUGAAUCUGCUGAUAACCUUUUCACUGCUACUUCUUGUCCAUUUUGAAGCUUACCCUUGUAUACAGGACCAAAUCCGCCUUCUCCGAGCUUAUUAGCAUCUGAGAAGUCAUCUGUUGCUGCUCUAAUUGCCGAAAAAGCAUAUUGAAAAGAUUCUGCAAUACUAGUAUCAUCCACAGAUGUACUCUGAAUUUCCUUCACCAUCUUCCUCUUUCGCCUCCUUAUCAAGAUGACAGCAAUACAAAUCAUAAGAAUAACAAUUGUAACAGUUGACACAACGAUUAUGAUGAUUGUUCGUGAUGUUUUAUCAUCCUUCCCUGUUGGAGGUGU